This 494-nucleotide ribosomal RNA is filed under the name uncultured bacterium. RNAcentral's name for it is "partial 16S ribosomal RNA". It matches the Rfam family "Bacterial small subunit ribosomal RNA", at positions 28 to 507 of the family's 1533-position model. The record is from RNAcentral.
GACGAACGCUGGCGGCGUGCUUAACACAUGCAAGUCGAACGGAAAGGCCUGCUUUCCCUUGUGGAUUGCGGGUACUCGAGUGGCGAACGGGUGAGUAACACGUGAGUGAUCUGCCCCCAACUUGGGUAUAAGCCUGGGAAACUGGGUCUAAUUCCCGAUAGGACUGCAGGGUGGUGCCUGUGGUGGAAAACGAUUUUCUAGUGGUUGGGGAUGAGCUCGCGGCCUAUCAGCUUGUUGGUGGGGUAAUGGCCUACCAAGGCGGCGACGGGUAGCCGGCCUGGGAGGGUGGACGGCCACAUUGGGACUGAGAUACGGCCCAGACUCCUACGGGAGGCAGCAGUGGGGAAUAUUGCACAAUGGGCGGAAGCCUGAUGCAGCGACGCCGCGUGGGGGAUGACGGCCUUCGGGUGGUAAACUCCUUUCGACCGCGAGGAAGCCACCUGGUUGGAAGGGUGGUGACGGUAGUGGUAGAAGAAGCACCGGCUAUCUACGUG